AAACGACUCUCGGCAACGGAUAUCUCGGCUCUCGCAUCGAUGAAGAACGUAGCGAAAUGCNAUACUUGGUGUGAAUUGCAGAAUCCCGUGAACCAUCGAGUCUUUGAACGCAAGUUGCGCCCCAAGCCUUUUGGCCGAGGGCACGUCUGCCUGGGUGUCACA
Molecule: ribosomal RNA, 162 nt
Filed under: Blennodia pterosperma
Lineage: Eukaryota; Viridiplantae; Streptophyta; Magnoliopsida; Brassicales; Brassicaceae
Description: 5.8S ribosomal RNA
Rfam family: 5.8S ribosomal RNA
About the family: 5.8S ribosomal RNA (5.8S rRNA) is a component of the large subunit of the eukaryotic ribosome. It is transcribed by RNA polymerase I as part of the 45S precursor that also contains 18S and 28S rRNA.
Source: RNAcentral